This 405-nucleotide ribosomal RNA is filed under the name uncultured bacterium. RNAcentral describes it as "bacterial SSU rRNA". It matches the Rfam family "Bacterial small subunit ribosomal RNA", at positions 28 to 438 of the family's 1533-position model. The record is from RNAcentral.
GACGAACGCUGGCGGCGUGCUUAACACAUGCAAGUCGAGCGGUAAGGCCCUUUCGGGGGUACACGAGCGGCGAACGGGUGAGUAACACGUGGGUGACCUGCCCUCAGCUCUGGGAUAAGCCUGGGAAACCGGGUCUAAUACUGGAUAUGACUCCAUGACGCAUGUUGUGGGGUGGAAAGCCUUGUGCGGCUGAGGAUGGGGCCCGCGGCCUAUCAGCUUGUUGGUGGGGNGAUGGCCUACCAAGGCGACGACGGGUAGCCGGCCUGAGAGGGCGACCGGCCACACUGGGACUGAGACACGGCCCAGACUCCUACGGGAGGCAGCAGUGGGGAAUCUUGCGCAAUGGGCGAAAGCCUGACGCAGCGACGCCGCGUGAGGGAUGACGGCCUGGUGUAACGUCUUCUA